Molecule: ribosomal RNA, 408 nt
Filed under: uncultured Stenotrophomonas sp.
Lineage: Bacteria; Pseudomonadati; Pseudomonadota; Gammaproteobacteria; Lysobacterales; Lysobacteraceae
Description: bacterial SSU rRNA
Rfam family: Bacterial small subunit ribosomal RNA
Source: RNAcentral
CAUGCAAGUCGAACGGCAGCACAGUAAGAGCUUGCUCUUAUGGGUGGCGAGUGGCGGACGGGUGAGGAAUACAUCGGAAUCUACUCUGUCGUGGGGGAUAACGUAGGGAAACUUACGCUAAUACCGCAUACGACCUACGGGUGAAAGCAGGGGAUCUUCGGACCUUGCGCGAUUGAAUGAGCCGAUGUCGGAUUAGCUAGUUGGCGGGGUAAAGGCCCACCAAGGCGACGAUCCGUAGCUGGUCUGAGAGGAUGAUCAGCCACACUGGAACUGAGACACGGUCCAGACUCCUACGGGAGGCAGCAGUGGGGAAUAUUGGACAAUGGGCGCAAGCCUGAUCCAGCCAUACCGCGUGGGUGAAGAAGGCCUUCGGGUUGUAAAGCCCUUUUGUUGGGAAAGAAAUCCAGC